Gavialis gangeticus (Gharial) is the source of this 5213-nucleotide long non-coding RNA. RefSeq lists it as uncharacterized. Lineage: Eukaryota; Metazoa; Chordata; Crocodylia; Gavialidae. The record is from RefSeq and is a predicted model, not a curated record. The transcript is spliced from 3 exons.
UUGAUUAUUUUUGCAAAAGGACACCUAUAUGUAAGACAGGGAUGCAUCAGGGAUACUCAGUAACAUUUGACAUGUCUUUCAGUGACAGGAUCCAGAGUUUGUCUUCAGGCAUUUUAGAAGUUCUAGAUUAAGAUUUAUUGACUAAAAUUAAUCUGUCCACAGUGUAGAAGGUACAUUUGAAAGGCCGGUCUGCCUCUUACAGCUCCUGUAAGUACUCUUUGGAUUAGACAGGGGCAAUAAUCAAAAUCUAUGAUUUGAAAAGAAAAAAGCCCUAAAAAGAAAAGUUUGAAUCUGGAGCUCAGUGUGACUAUUUGGCCUUGGUUCUGCAGUCAGAUGCACGCAGGGGAAUCUCGGUGCCCACCCGCUUCCAUCUGCAGAAUCAGAGCUUUAGUAAUAAACAAGGUACAGAAAAGGACGGGGUUCUUUUUCUGUGCGUUUGGGUAUCACUGAGCUGCAAUUAGGUAUGCGGAUUUGUGUUACUAAAACAAUUAAGUGUUUCAAGAUAAUUAGUGCUUUACAAUUAAAUAUUAUUGUAUGUAAUUAUGAAAUAUUUACCAUUUUAUUUCUGCACCUGUAUCCUGCUCUCUAGUCUCAUUAUGUUUUGAUAAAAAACCACUGUGUGCAGUAAGUGAUGUUCUUGGCAGGCACUGCAGGAUUAUGUUGAUUUAAACAUUGAAAAAGGAAACACUUACAAAUGUUGAUAUGUUCUGCUAAAAUGCUUAAAAGAAUAAAAAGCAUAUCACUACACGUGCCCAUAAAAGAGAAGAAAGAUGCACUUGAAAUGUGUAUAACUGGCCACUGGAUGUCAGAAUUGCAGUCUGCUUGAAUUCAGUAAUGGCUGUGACUGGUAGUAGCUGUUAAAAACUUCCUGUCACAGUGUAGGUUAUAUGACUGGGUCAGCAGAGUAAGAGAGAGGUUAUCCUUUUCCACAUUGAUGUAUACUUGAAUUUCUAAGCAUCCCAAUUGUCCUUCAUUUCACUAAGACAGCCCACUUCCACUCUGUUAAAAUGCACUCUUGAAUCAUAGGCUAUCAUCCCAGAAAGAAGGGUGCCUGAUACUUUUCAUUUGUUCUAGUUGUCAUGUGUCAGGAAACAUUAGAAAAUGGACACUUCUCAUUUUCUGCCCCACCCAGUAGAAAUUGCUUGUUGCCGUUUUAUUUCAGUUUGUUGUCCUGUUGGUACAUUAACGCAAAGAUUUAGUGACAUCAAACUGCUUGUGAUUAUUUUAAUCCAAAAAAGAGGGCAAAUAUCUUAGAAUAAUGUGGGGUGAAGAAUUCACAUUUUUAUAUGGAAAAAGGGUCAGAAUGGUGUUAGACCUGAGGAUGGGCAUUUGAUGCCCAAAACCUUGUUCGACCGUGUUUCCAGCUGUACAGUUAGUCAAGUAAAAGAUGUCACAAAACAUCCUUGCUUCUUUGUGGAAAAAUGCACUGCAUAGCAAAUGUUUACACAGUCAUCUCAGAAGUAGGCUCCUUCUACUCUAAACUAGAAACAUCUUGCAGUAAUUACUUUCACAGUCCUUUUGCAGCUCUUAGGUAUUCUAGGCCAGUACAAUCUAUUGGUUGUUAAUUUCUUAGCCUUUUUUUUUCUUAUUCCCCAGAUGUCUUCUGGUGUGAUGUGUACAUUGUACAAGUCGUAUUCUACGUAUACAAUUGGUCAAAUGCUGUGAUGGCUUUCAAGCAGUGUAACCUCAGAUGUUGUGUACUUUGGCUUAGUAAAGAAUACAGAAUUCUUUCUAUAUAUUGGCUGUUUGCUACAUUCAUCAUUGCUGAAGGGUUCUCUCUGAAUGACUCUACAGCAGAACUGAUUUGUUCUGUCAACAGAGAAGAGAAUCUUGCACAGACUCCUGAGUCAUAUACUUACGUAAUUUAAAGGAUAAAAUCUAGUUCCAUGACUCACUUGCAGGAUGGUAUCACGGUCUCAUUCUCACAUAUAUACGCACACACUCACCAGUAACCUUGGAGCAGCAAUCAAUGUUAAUUGCAGUAUGAAUCGUUCCAGUGACACGUUAUUUCAAAAAUGUUCCUCUGCCCAAAUGUCUAUGAAACAAUGAGUUAUGGCUCUAGGUAUGGACUGUGGUCAUGCAGGUGAAGAAAUGCUGUAAUCUCCUCAGUCCUUGUCUAGUAUAUUGUCUCCAACAAAAGCCAGUUCCUGCUGUUCCAGAGAAAGGUGUAGGAAAUCCAGAAAUAGGCAAACUGGAGAUGAUUUGACCCUCACUAUGUUAAGCACACGUGUAUUUGAUUGCCAGACUAUGCAUAUACUUUGCUUUCUCACUAAGUAUACCACUCAUUUUUCCAUUUACUUUCCAGAAAGAAUUGCCACAUUAACCAAAACACUGAUGUUUAAUCCUAAAAUGACCUUUUAUUGGGGAGGGGGGGAAUGGGUACAUGACCCACCUGCCAUCAGCACUUGUUUGCUACAUUACUGGACUUUAUGAAAGAUACCCGCAAUAAUAAGAUCCGUUAAAAAAGAUUAAAUGUAAAAGGGCACCAAUGGAUCAAGAUGUGUCAAUUAUAAGUUAGAUUUAGAAAAUAGAAUGGAACUUUUGAGUCAGUGUCAUGUUUUGAAAUAAUGAGAUAGAAACCAAGAAGAAAAUUCUGCCCUCAGAUAUAUUAACAUAACUCCUAGUGGUUUUAGUGGGAGUUAUUAUGCGCAUCUGAAAGUAAAACUGGGCAGUUUAACUUAGAAGUCUGGAGCUCAAGAGGAAAUUAGGAGAAAGUUCUUUGCACUAAGGAGGAUGAAUAUAUGGACUAUUCCACCAAACAAAGAAACUCUAGCAACUAAAAUAUGGUCAAAAGGUCAUGGACCCUUUCACUGAGGGAAAAACAAAGAAGAUAAACACCAACGAAACAGUAGGCUUACCUUCCUUAUCACACAAAUCUAACUAUAAAAAUCUAGCAUUGAAUCUUACAGACAUUUAUUCUCCGUACCAUUGGGAGGUGGGGAGGUUUACUGGCCCUAAUUCACUGACUGGAAAAUUGAGGCAGAGAACAUGUAAGGGACUUGCCCAAGUUACAUAGCACAAUGUUAACAUAGCUGGAGAGAUGUGUGGGGUGAUGUUAACAUGGUGGUGGAGAUGUGUAAAUAGAGCAGCAUUAAAAUGAGCUAGUGGCUAUGUUGAUCAGGAUGGGACCAGGUUUCUUGAUUCCCACUCCUUUGGGCCAACCAUCUAACAACACCUCUUAGUCUGUCCUAGAAGCCGUUUCAUGAGUCACCAUAGCUAAAUGUUCUAGCACAGGACUGAAUGUCCAGAUAAGCCUCAUUUAUGAGUGACUAAAUGAAAAACAUUACUGCAAGCAGUACUGUUUGCUGUUUGUAAAUUGGCCCUUCCAAAAAUUUCAGUUACAUUUCUAUUUCCUUCUGCAUUCACAAGCAGUUGUUAUGCUGAGCCCACAAUUGACACUGACACAUUUCGCACUUUUCACACUGUUCAUUGCACCUCCCUUACAGCCUGCACUGAGGUGUGUACACAAAGCCAGUCAAGUGUUUAACACUGAUGAGUAUUUAACAUUCUUACAGCAACAUUAAAAACUGCAAAUACCUUUACAGAACCUAAAUUAACCAACAUUUGCUUCAGACAUGCCGCUCAUAUAAAUAUCAAGGCAGUAUCAUCAUAUGCCUUGCACAAAACAAUAUCAUGUAUAUUGUCAAAUAUUCAAGAUAAAAUACACAUUAAUACUGAUAAUUGCUAAAGUGUUUUAAGUUACUUGGAUUAAGAUACUCUUUAACAGUGCAAAUGGAAGUUACAGAAGAUGCUCUGUUUUGAAAUGUCUUCAUCUGAACCCUCAUGUAAUAAGGGGUCAUAUUUUCACCCAAUCAUUCAUUUUUGAAGCUGUCUGCAGCCAUGCACUUGUGUUUGGUCGUGGCUAUAAACUGAUUUCUGUCCCUGGAUUGGGUGAAAAUAGUUGCUUCUGUCUGUGCUCUAAGUAUAAAGUAUGCUUGUGUAUUCUGCAUUUGGAAGAACUGGUCAAUGUGAAGUGUGGAUCUAGAUCUAGACUCAUAUUUCCUCAGAGUUUCAGGCAGCAGAACUGGGAUUUUCAUUCAGCUGGUUAUGAACACAGAGCUAAAAGCGAAAUUCAGGUUUGGAUAUGAACUUUUGUAGUGCUCUGGGAAAUCUGAAUCCAGGAAGCUGGUCCAAGCCUGUCUUUAGUGUCUGGAAAGCAUUUAAUCACAUCAAAAUGCUAUGUCCCUAAUGGUCAGGGCCAGCUACUACAGCAGAUGUGCAUACAUUACUUUCAUCCCCUUGCAUCCCAUAAAAACCGUGCUCCAUGGAAAUGGUUUGGACAUAUAACAAGAAGGCCCAGCACCCUUGCCAUUGCCAACACCAUCUUGCAGGGUGCUGUGGAUGGACAAAGAGGAGGAGAAAGACCUAGGACAAGCUGAACCACCAAGAUCAAAGACUGGAUAGGAGGAAAACUGACUUACUGUACAAGGAUUGCAGGAAGAAUGGAGGAAAGUCAUUGCUACAUCAAAGAUGCCUCAAUGAUUGGUGUGGCCUUGGGACUGACUGACUGACUGCCUGCAUCCCAUAAACUUUGUGCUUUAUAUUUUUUAAGGAGCUGGCUAGAAGAUACAGGUGAUUGUGACGUAUGCUUCGUUCUUAUAGCUGAAUCAGUCUCCUCUACACAUGAUUGUGAUAAUCAUAAUUGUGUUUCAUGUCUAGUUUAUUACAUCACCCAAGAAAAAACACCCUUUGCUUAUGUGUGUGUGUCUUUCCUUUCUUCCUAUUGGGCCAAAACCAGGUCUUGCUGAAGGUGAUGACCAAACUGCCACUGACUUAAACAAGACCAAAAUACUAUGAGUUACUCAGGACAUCAGUAUGCUAAUCAACAGUAUAGUAACCUUGAUAAUAUCUUGUAUAAGGAACAAAAAAGUGCAGUUCAGUGGAGUGGUAACAUGUUUGAUGAGUUCAUAGAAUCAUAGAAUAUGUUUGAAAGGACAAAACAAUCCUGCAGCUAAGGUUUUGUGUUGUGAAAUUAUGGAUAGAGUUCUUUGGGAACCUUUGUCAAAGGAAAGGUGCUGUUUAAGUUCAAGUUGUGUUGAUAUAUCAGUGGGAGAAUUAGUUUGCUCUCUCACCUUCCUUUGACCAUGUUUAACUUACGUAACAGCCUGUUAUGGUGCUGACAAGGUAAGAUUUCCAGCAGUGGUAAAUUCCUUUUGCAGUGCCUCAUAACACCCACAUUCUUUCACCAUCUGACAUGUUCAUCUUAUUUUCAU